Molecule: ribosomal RNA, 253 nt
Filed under: uncultured bacterium
Lineage: Bacteria
Description: partial 16S ribosomal RNA
Rfam family: Bacterial small subunit ribosomal RNA
Source: RNAcentral
UACGUAGGGGGCUAGAGUUGUCCGGAUUUACUGGGUGUAAAGGGUGCUCAGGUGGAUUUGUAAGUCAGACGUGAAAUCCCUCGGCUUAACCGGGGAACUGCGUCUGAUACUGGAUGGCUAGAGGUUGGGAGAGGGAUGCGGAAUUCCAGGUGUAGCGGUGAAAUGCGUAGAUAUCUGGAGGAACACCGGUGGCGAAGGCGGCAUCCUGGACCGACACUGACGCUGAGGAGCGAAAGCCAGGGGAGCAAACGGG